AGCAGCCGCGGUAAUUCCAGCUCCAAUAGCGUAUAUUAAAGUUGUUGCAGUUAAAAAGCUCGUAGUUGAAUUUCGGGAUUGGCGCAUCGGUCGUGCCUUACGGGGUAUGAACUGGUGCAGUCAAUUUCUCACCUUCUGGAGAACCGCGAUGUCCUUAAUUGGGUGCCGCGGGGAACCAGGACCUUUACUUUGAAAAAAUUAGAGUGUUUAAAGCAGGCAUUUUUGCUUGAAUACAUUAGCAUGGAAUAAUAAAAUAGGACGGCAUGGUUCUAUUUUGUUGGUUUCUAGGACCACCGUAAUGAUUAAUAGGGAUAGUUGGGGGCAUUAGCAUUCAAUUGUCAGAGGUGAAAUUCUUGGAUUUAUUGAAGACUAACUACUGCGAAAGCAUUUGCCAAGGAUGUUUUCAUUAAUCAAGAACGAAAGUUAGGGGAUCGAAGACGAUCAGAUACCGUCGUAGUCUUAACCAUAAACUAUGCCGACUAGGGAUCGGAUGAUGUUAAUUUUUUAAUGACUCAUUCGG
Molecule: ribosomal RNA, 520 nt
Filed under: uncultured Entrophospora
Lineage: Eukaryota; Fungi; Glomeromycota; Glomeromycetes; Entrophosporales; Entrophosporaceae
Description: SSU rRNA
Rfam family: Eukaryotic small subunit ribosomal RNA
Source: RNAcentral